This 322-nucleotide ribosomal RNA is filed under the name uncultured eukaryote. RNAcentral's name for it is "partial 18S ribosomal RNA". It matches the Rfam family "Eukaryotic small subunit ribosomal RNA", at positions 1470 to 1796 of the family's 1831-position model. The record is from RNAcentral.
CCCUUAGAUGUUCUGGGCCGCACGCGUGCUACACUGAGUGGAUCAGCGGGUCAGGUUGCGUGAAAGCGUUUCCUAAUCUUGAAAUCCGCUCGUGAUGGGGAUUGACGGUUGCAAUUUUCUGUCAUGAACGAGGAAUACCUUGUAAGCGCGGGUCAUCAUCCCGCGCUGAAUACGUCCCUGCCCUUUGUACACACCGCCCGUCGCUCCUACCGAUUGAGUGGUCCGGUGAGGCUUUGGGAUCUGAGCGGAAAGAGCGUUUCGCUCGUUCUGCCCGGAAAACUCAGUCGAACCUUAUCAUUUAGAGGAAGGAGAAGUCGUAACA